This 73-nucleotide transfer RNA is filed under the name Sus scrofa (pig). It matches the Rfam family "tRNA". Rfam says of the family: Transfer RNA (tRNA) molecules are approximately 80 nucleotides in length. Their secondary structure includes four short double-helical elements and three loops (D, anti-codon, and T loops). Further hydrogen bonds mediate the characteristic L-shaped molecular structure. tRNAs have two regions of fundamental functional importance: the anti-codon, which is responsible for specific mRNA codon recognition, and the 3' end, to which the tRNAs corresponding amino acid is attached (by aminoacyl-tRNA synthetases). tRNAs cope with the degeneracy of the genetic code in two manners: having more than one tRNA (with a specific anti-codon) for a particular amino acid; and 'wobble' base-pairing, i.e. permitting non-standard base-pairing at the 3rd anti-codon position. Lineage: Eukaryota; Metazoa; Chordata; Mammalia; Artiodactyla; Suidae. The record is from Rfam by way of RNAcentral.
UCCCUGGUGGCCUAGUGGGUAAGGAUCCAGUGUUGUCACUACUGUGGCUCAGGUUCAAUCCCUGGCAUGGGAA